Molecule: long non-coding RNA, 810 nt
Filed under: Coffea arabica (coffee)
Lineage: Eukaryota; Viridiplantae; Streptophyta; Magnoliopsida; Gentianales; Rubiaceae
Description: long non-coding RNA (CARA_LNC003234)
Source: RNAcentral
AAUUUGGAAUGAUACUUUGAGCAUUUGUUUCACUACCUAUACAGAUUUUUAUCACUUGCUCUCCCAUUUGAGCCUAUGAAAAGAAUAAUUUCGUUUCAGAUAAGAGCCCUAAUGAUCACUACCCUAUAUUGGAAAAUUUUCAAAUAUCAAAUAGGGGAAUGGAUUUUCAAUAACCGUUUCGUUACUUUGGUUGUCAUGAGGUGUAAGAAUGAUGCUUUGGCCGUCGUUUCUACAACCUAAACACUGAUCACCCCUUGCAUCCCCAUUUUGAGCUAAAAUUGGUGGUUCUUUUCUAAUGCACUCAUGGUCGUACCCCACAUUGGGGAGGGAGAUUGGAGAAUUUUCAAAAAAAAAAAAACAAAAAAGGAAAAAGGGAAAAGGGAAAAAGCAAAAAUGCUAGAAUAAGGAGGGAACUGCAAAUUGGGGAAAUUUGAUUCCACUUGGGUUCCAAGUUUGAAAAAAGAAAAGGAAGGGUUUUUGUCCAUGUGAAUCGCCUAUGUUUCACAAAUAUGGAUGAGUAAGGGUCUUCCUCAGUCAAUUAAUUCAGAUACACGCAAAAAUUUCGCAUUAACGAAAGUUUCCUUUCAGAGUUGUUGUAAGGAACAGAAUACAAGUCAGGCUAUCUUCUUUUCCAAUCGAACACUUUAUCCCUAGUUAUCCCUUUUGAGCCAUCAGAAUAAAUUAUUUCGUUUGGCAACCCCUGAGAAUCGCAAACCCCACACUGGGGGCGAGUUUGAGUUGAAAAGAAAAUUUCAAAAAAGUGAAAAGCAACAAGAUCAAAAACAAAAGAAGAAAAGAGAACCUCAGUUC